CAGUCGAACGAGCGAGAGAGAGCUUGCUUUCUUGAGCGAGUGGCGAACGGCUGAGUAACGCGUGAGGAACCUGCCUCAAAGAGGGGGACAACAGUUGGAAAUGACUGCUAAUACCGCAUAAGCCCACGACCCGGCAUCGGGUAGAGGGAAAAGGAGCAAUCCGCUUUGAGAUGGCCUCGCGUCCGAUUAGCUAGUUGGUGAGGUAAUGGCCCACCAAGGCGACGAUCGGUAGCCGGACUGAGAGGUUGAACGGCCACAUUGGGACUGAGACACGGCCCAGACUCCUACGGGAGGCAGCAGUGGGGAAUAUUGCACAAUGGGGGAAACCCUGAUGCAGCGACGCCGCGUGGAGGAAGAAGGUCUUCGGAUUGUAAACUCCUGUUGUUGAGGAAGAUAAUGACGGUACUCAACAAGGAAGUGACGGCUAACUACGUGCCAGCAGCCGCGGUAAAACGUAGGUCACAAGCGUUGUCCGGAAUUACUGGGUGUAAAGGGAGCGCAGGCGGGAAGACAAGUUGGAAGUGAAAUCCAUGGGCUCAACCCAUGAACUGCUUUCAAAACUGUUUUUCUUGAGUAGUGCAGAGGUAGGCGGAAUUCCCGGUGUAGCGGUGGAAUGCGUAGAUAUCGGGAGGAACACCAGUGGCGAAGGCGGCCUACUGGGCACCAACUGACGCUGAGGCUCGAAAGUGUGGGUAGCAAACAGGAUUAGAUACCCUGGUAGUCCACACUGUA
RNAcentral lists this ribosomal RNA (732 nucleotides) under uncultured bacterium. RNAcentral's name for it is "bacterial SSU rRNA". It matches the Rfam family "Bacterial small subunit ribosomal RNA", at positions 59 to 804 of the family's 1533-position model. The record is from RNAcentral.